UCGGGCGACCGGGCGGCCGCGGCGAAAUUUUUCGCUGAGGAAAGUCCGGGCUCCAUGGAAGCAAGGUGCCGGGUAACGCCCGGCCGGGGCGGUGACGCCCUGAGGGAAAGCGCCACAGAAAACAAACCGCCCUCUCCGGAGGGUAAGGGUGAAAAGGUGCGGUAAGAGCGCACCGCCGACCCAGCAAUGGGGCGGGCACGGCAAGCCCCACCUGGAGCAAGACCGAAUAGGGACCGAGUGCUGCGCGGUAUCGCGUGGCAGGCGCGCUUACACGCUGAUCGGUCCGGGUUGGUUGCUUGAGGCUGCACGCAAGUGCAGUCCCAGAUGGAUGGUCGCCAUUUCGCCUAUAGCGGAAUACAGAACCCGGCUUAUAUGGUCGCCCGGCGCC
This 388-nucleotide RNase P RNA is filed under the name Parvularculaceae bacterium. RNAcentral describes it as "RNase P RNA component class A". It matches the Rfam family "Bacterial RNase P class A". From Rfam's summary of the family: Ribonuclease P (RNase P) is a ubiquitous endoribonuclease, found in archaea, bacteria and eukarya as well as chloroplasts and mitochondria. The record is from RNAcentral. Lineage: Bacteria; Pseudomonadati; Pseudomonadota; Alphaproteobacteria; Parvularculales; Parvularculaceae.